AGGAUGAACGCUGGCGGCGUGCUUACACAUGCAAGUCGAACGAGAAAGCUCCUUCGGGAGUGAGUACAGUGGCGAACGGGUGCGUAACACGUUGGUGACCUGCCUUGAGGAGGGGGACAACCGUGGGAAACCACGGCUAAUACCCCGGAUGUCUAAACUGUUAGAGGGUUUAGACUAAAACUUCGGUGCCUCAAGAGGGGCCUGCGGGCUAUCAGCUUGUUGGUGGGGUAAUGGCCUACCAAGGCUAAGACGGCUAGGGGGCGUGAGAGCGCGACCCCCCACAAUGGAACUGAGACACGGUCCAUACUCCUACGGGAGGCAGCAGUGAGGAAUAUUGCGCAAUGGGGGAAACCCUGACGCAGCAACGCCGCGUGAACGAUGAAGGCCUUCGGGUCGUAAAGUUCUUUUCUAAGGGAAGAUAGUGACGGUACCUUAGGAAUAAGUCCCGGCUAACUACGUGCCAGCAGCCGCGGUAAAACGUAGGGGGCGAGCGUUAUCCAGAUUUAUUGGGCGUAAAGCGCACGUAGGUGGCGCUGUAAGUUAGACGUGAAAGCUCUCGGCUCAACUGAGAGAGGUCGUUUAAAACUGCAGUGCUUGAGGUUAGAAGAGGAGAGCAGAAUUCCCGGUGUAGUGGUGGAAUGCGUAGAUAUCGGGAGGAAUACCAGUGGCGAAGGCGGCUCUCUAGUCUACACCUGACACUGAGGUGCGAAAGCGUGGGUAGCGAACGGGAUUAGAUACCCCGGUAGUCCACGCUGUAAACGAUGGAUACUAGGUGUAGGGGGUCAUUUAACCCCUCUGUGCCGAAGCAAACGCGUUAGGUAUCCCGCCUGGGGACUACGGCCGCAAGGUUAAAACUCAAAGGAAUUGACGGGGGCCCGCACAAGCAGCGGAGCGUGUGGUUUAAUUCGAUGAAAUACGCGAAGGAACCUUACACUGGGCUGAACUACGUGGUAGUAGUGGAGCGAAAGCGGAUCGACCCUUCGGGGAGCCUCGAUAGGUGCUGCAUGGCUGUCGUCAGCUCGUGUCGUGAGAUGUUGGGUUAAGUCCCGCAACGAGCGCAACCCUCGUCGCUAGUUACAAGUGUCUAGCGAGACUGCCGGUAUCAAACCGGAGGAAGGUGGGGAUGACGUCAAGUCAGCAUGGUCUUUAUGUCCAGGGCUACACACACGCUACAAUGGUCGGUACAAUAGGUUGCCACACCGCGAGGUGGAGCUAAUCCUCAGAGCCGAUCUCAGUUCGGAUUGUAGUCUGCAACUCGACUACAUGAAGGCGGAGUUGCUAGUAACCGCGCGUCAGCAUAGUGCGGUGAAUGCGUUCCCGGGCCUUGUACACACCGCCCGUCACAUCAUGGGAGUCGGUAACACCUGAAGUCGGUGACCUAACCGAAAGGG
Molecule: ribosomal RNA, 1391 nt
Filed under: uncultured organism
Description: 16S ribosomal RNA
Rfam family: Bacterial small subunit ribosomal RNA
Source: RNAcentral